This 56-nucleotide ribosomal RNA is filed under the name Cosmocomoidea morrilli. RNAcentral's name for it is "partial 5.8S ribosomal RNA". The stretch from base 8 to 56 matches the Rfam family "5.8S ribosomal RNA", at positions 1 to 49 of the family's 154-position model. Rfam says of the family: 5.8S ribosomal RNA (5.8S rRNA) is a component of the large subunit of the eukaryotic ribosome. It is transcribed by RNA polymerase I as part of the 45S precursor that also contains 18S and 28S rRNA. Lineage: Eukaryota; Metazoa; Arthropoda; Insecta; Hymenoptera; Mymaridae. The record is from RNAcentral.
UUAUGAUUACCCUGAACGGUGGAUCACUUGGCUCGUGCAUCGAUGAAGAACGCAGC